Molecule: non-coding RNA, 104 nt
Filed under: Streptomyces hygroscopicus
Lineage: Bacteria; Bacillati; Actinomycetota; Actinomycetes; Kitasatosporales; Streptomycetaceae
Also listed under: 1 other name
Description: TPP sequence
Rfam family: TPP riboswitch aptamer (THI element)
About the family: Vitamin B(1) in its active form thiamin pyrophosphate (TPP) is an essential coenzyme that is synthesised by coupling of pyrimidine and thiazole moieties in bacteria.
Source: RNAcentral
ACAUUCCGACAGGGGAGCGCGACAGCGCUGAGAGUGCGGCACGGCCGCAGACCCUCCAACCUGAUCCGGGUCAUACCGGCGUAGGGAGUCAGCCUCACCAUGAA